This 690-nucleotide ribosomal RNA is filed under the name Salmonella enterica. RNAcentral's name for it is "partial 23S ribosomal RNA". Lineage: Bacteria; Pseudomonadati; Pseudomonadota; Gammaproteobacteria; Enterobacterales; Enterobacteriaceae. The record is from RNAcentral.
CCGAAUGGGGAAACCCAGUGUGAYUCGUCACACUAUCAUUAACUGAAUCCAUAGGUUAAUGAGGCGAACCGGGGGAACUGAAACAUCUAAGUACCCCGAGGAAAAGAAAUCAACCGAGAUUCCCCCAGUAGCGGCGAGCGAACGGGGAGGAGCCCAGAGCCUGAAUCAGCAURUGUGUUAGUGGAAGCGUCUGGAAAGGCGCGCGAUACAGGGUGACAGCCCCGUACACAAAAGCGCAUGUGCUGUGAGCUCGAUGAGUAGGGCGGGACACGUGGUAUCCUGUCUGAAUAUGGGGGGACCAUCCUCCAAGGCUAAAUACUCCUGACUGACCGAUAGUGAACCAGUACCGUGAGGGAAAGGCGAAAAGAACCCCGGCGAGGGGAGUGAAAAAGAACCUGAAACCGUGUACGUACAAGCAGUGGGAGCCAGAGGGGGCUUAGUGGUGGGGUGACUGCGUACCUUUUGUAUAAUGGGUCAGCGACUUAUAUUCUGUAGCAAGGUUAACCGCAUAGGGGAGCCGUAGGGAAACCGAGUCUUAACGGGGCGUUAAGUUGCAGGGUAUAGACCCGAAACCCGGUGAUCUAGCCAUGGGCAGGUUGAAGGUUGGGUAACACUAACUGGAGGACCGAACCGACUAAUGUUGAAAAAUUAGCGGAUGACCUGUGGCUGGGGGUGAAAGGCCAAUCAAAC